Molecule: ribosomal RNA, 250 nt
Filed under: uncultured bacterium
Lineage: Bacteria
Description: partial 16S ribosomal RNA
Rfam family: Bacterial small subunit ribosomal RNA
Source: RNAcentral
UACGUAGGGUCCAAGCGUUAUCCGGAAUUAUUGGGCGUAAAGAGCGCGUAGGUGGUUUGGUAAGUUCUACCUUAAAUAUCGAGGCCCAACCUCGAACUUGGGUAGAAAACUGCCUUACUUGAGUAUUGCAGGGGCGAGUGGAAUAUACGGUGUAGGAGUAAAAUCCAUUGAUAUCGUAUAGAACACCAAUGGCGAAGGCAGCUCGCUAGGCAAUUACUGACACUGAGGCGCGAAAGCGUGGGUAGCGAAC